RNAcentral lists this long non-coding RNA (392 nucleotides) under Rattus norvegicus (Norway rat). RNAcentral describes it as "long non-coding RNA NONRATT013420". Lineage: Eukaryota; Metazoa; Chordata; Mammalia; Rodentia; Muridae. The record is from RNAcentral.
UUUCACAAUAUAGUCCAACUUACUUUGGUCCUGAGCAUGCUCAGGUUCUUUCUGGCCAUUUACUUCAUUCUAGUUUACCAGGGCUCACCAGGAUGGAACAGAUGUCUUUGAUGGCCUUAGCAGAUACAAUUGCAACUACAAGCACUGAUAUUGGAGAAAGUAGAGACAGAAGUCAAGGUGGAGAAACUUUAGAUGAGUGCGGAUUAAAGUUUCUUUUGGCUGUUCGACUCCAUACCUUCCUUACAACUUCCCUUCCAGCUUACCGAGCUCAACUCCUUCACCAAGGCCUUUCUACUGGUCAUUUUGCUUGGGCAUUUCACUCAGUAGCAGAGGAAGAACUACUGAAUAUGUUGCCAGCCAUGCAGAAAGAUGAUCCAACUUGGUCUGAACUG